CAAUAGCGUAUAUUUAAGUUGUUGCAGUUAAAAAGCUCGUAGUUGGAUUUCGGUUAAGAGCGACCGGUCCGCCGUUUGGUGUGCACUGGUUGGUUUUAACUUCCUGUAGAGGACGUGCUCUGGGUUUAACGACCUGGACUCGGAGUCUACGUGGUUACUUUGAAAAAAUUAGAGUGUUCAAAGCGGGCUUACGCUUGAAUAUUUCAGCAUGGAAUAGCACUAUAGGACUCCUGUCCUAUUUCGUUGGUCUCGGGGCGGGAGUAAUGAUUAAGAGGAACAGUUGGGGGCAUUCGUAUUUCAUUGUCAGAGGUGAAAUUCUUGGAUUUAUGAAAGACGAACUUCUGCGAAAGCAUUUGCCAAGGAUGUUUUCAUUAA
This 375-nucleotide ribosomal RNA is filed under the name uncultured eukaryote. RNAcentral's name for it is "partial 18S ribosomal RNA". It matches the Rfam family "Eukaryotic small subunit ribosomal RNA", at positions 592 to 976 of the family's 1831-position model. The record is from RNAcentral.